Molecule: long non-coding RNA, 377 nt
Filed under: Brassica napus (rape)
Lineage: Eukaryota; Viridiplantae; Streptophyta; Magnoliopsida; Brassicales; Brassicaceae
Description: long non-coding RNA (BNAP_LNC026321)
Source: RNAcentral
UGAGUAGAGUGUUGAAUUUUUUGAAACAAAAACCAUUGUACAUGUUUAGAAUGAAGUGAGUGUUGAAUAAAUUAGGUGUUGAAAAAAGAGAAGAUGAUGUGAAAUGUUUAAAGGAGAAAAUGAGAGUGUUGAAAAUGGAGAGGGUGUUGAAACCAUUGUACAUGGUCUUAGAAUUCUAAAUUUCACAUUCCAAAAUCCAUACCUUACCUUUCAACUCUAAACCCUAAGUCUAGAUUAGUUGGGGAAAUUUUAUGUUUACCAUUUUCAUGGUACCACUUUUCAUCUUUACCACUACUAAAGGGACAUUUUCAAAAAUAUCUUCUUCAUUAAGUGGCAAAAGAUUCAUAUACCCUUGUUAUCUAUAUAUAUAAUAAAUC